CAAUUGGAAAGAGGAGUGGGGGACGGGUGAAGUAACACGUGGGUAACCUACCCAUCAGGGGGGGAUAACACUUGGAAACAGGUGCUAAUACCGCAUAACAGUUUAUGCCGCAUGGCAUAAGAGUGAAAGGCGCUUUCGGGUGUCGCUGAUGGAUGGACCCGCGGUGCAUUAGCUAGUUGGUGAGGUAACGGUUCACCAAGGCCACGAUGCAUAGCCGACCUGAGAGGGUGAUCGGCCACACUGGGACUGAGACACGGCCCAGACUCCUACGGGAGGCAGCAGUAGGGAAUCUUCGGCAAUGGACGAAAGUCUGACCGAGCAACGCCGCGUGAGUGAAGAAGGUUUUCGGAUCGUAAAACUCUGUUGUUAGAGAAGAACAAGGACGUUAGUAACUGACGUCCCCUGACGGUAUCUAACCAGAAAGCCACGGCUAACUACGUGCCAGCAACCCGGUAAUACGUAGGUGGCAAGCUUGUCCGGAUUUAUUGGGCGUAAAGCGAGCGCAGGCGGUUUCUUAAGUUCUGAUGUGAAAGCCCCCGGCUCAACCGGGGAGGGUCAUUGGAAACUGGGAGACUUGAGUGCAGAAGAGGAGAAUGGAAUUCCAUGUGUACCGGUGAAAUGCGUAGAUAUAUGGAGGACACCAAUGGCGAAGGCGGC
RNAcentral lists this ribosomal RNA (657 nucleotides) under uncultured low G+C Gram-positive bacterium. RNAcentral's name for it is "bacterial SSU rRNA". It matches the Rfam family "Bacterial small subunit ribosomal RNA", at positions 80 to 725 of the family's 1533-position model. The record is from RNAcentral. Lineage: Bacteria; Bacillati; Bacillota.